Molecule: ribosomal RNA, 253 nt
Filed under: uncultured bacterium
Lineage: Bacteria
Description: partial 16S ribosomal RNA
Rfam family: Bacterial small subunit ribosomal RNA
Source: RNAcentral
GACAUAGGUCGCAAACGUUAUCCGGAAUUACUGGGCGUAAAGCGCGCGUAGGCGGCUUUGCAAGUCGGGUGUGAAAUCCCCAGGCUCAACCUGGGAACUGCAUUCGAGACUGCAUUGCUAGAGUAUGGGAGAGGGAAGUGGAAUUUCCGGUGUAGCGGUGAAAUGCGUAGAUAUCGGAAGGAACAUCAGUGGCGAAAGCGACUUCCUGGACCAAUACUGACGCUCAUGUGCGAAAGCGUGGGGAGCAAACAGG